AAAUUGAAGAGUUUGAUCAUGGCUCAGAUUGAACGCUGGCGGCAGGCCUAACACAUGCAAGUCGAACGGUAACAGGAAGUAGCUUGCUGCUUCGCUGACGAGUGGCGGACGGGUGAGUAAUGUCUGGGAAACUGCCUGAUGGAGGGGGAUAACUACUGGAAACGGUGGCUAAUACCGCAUAACGUCGCAAGACCAAAGAGGGGGACCUUCGGGCCUCUUGCCAUCAGAUGUGCCCAGAUGGGAUUAGCU
RNAcentral lists this ribosomal RNA (249 nucleotides) under Salmonella enterica. Its description in RNAcentral is "partial 16S ribosomal RNA". It matches the Rfam family "Bacterial small subunit ribosomal RNA", at positions 1 to 246 of the family's 1533-position model. The record is from RNAcentral. Lineage: Bacteria; Pseudomonadati; Pseudomonadota; Gammaproteobacteria; Enterobacterales; Enterobacteriaceae.